Molecule: long non-coding RNA, 1019 nt
Filed under: Apteryx owenii (little spotted kiwi)
Lineage: Eukaryota; Metazoa; Chordata; Aves; Apterygiformes; Apterygidae
Description: lncRNA (ENSAOWG00000018657.1)
Source: RNAcentral
CUCAAACGCCGCUUUGAGAACAGCCGCAAAGAGGCUCCCGCUGGGAGCUCUGGGCAAGACCCCGCUGUCGGGAGCGGAGCCGAACGGUCCCUGCGGUGGUCCGAGGCCGGAUCCCGGCACGUCCGGCUUGGUGCAAGCCCUGCGCCGGGCUCGCGGGUCCCCCGUUGCCUCCCCGUCGUCACAAGAGGCUGCAGACGAGGGACUCGAUCCGGCUCCUCUUGCGCCGCCGGCGCGCAGCCGGCUCCGCCGCGGGGCUGGGAGGGAGCAAAGCCGGCGGCGGCAUUACCGCGGUCCGGGGGCGCCCGGCCCGGCGGGAUGCAGCCUACGGAGCACCGGGGAUUUCCCGGCGGCCACCCUCAGACCUGUUCCCCUCGCUACAGUGGGAAGCGGUCGGGAUGCGGAUGCUCCGAGAUGUGUCGGGGCCCCAAACCCUGCAUGCGGGGCGUAUCCGGCUUCGAGACCCCUCGUCCCCGGGGUGCAGCCCUCCCGGCCGCUACCUUCGUGGGUGCUGGCUCGCGCUCCCCCGCGGCGCCGCCAGCUCCGGGGCCUGCGCUCCCAGCCGGAGGGGGUCGUGCUCGCCGGCGCCUGCAAAAUGCAGCGGUGCAAAUGCAGCUGCGUUUUUAAGGGAAGGCUUAUUCCCAGCCAGGGCUGCCUGAAGCUUUUUCUCUUUCACCAAAGGACUUUUUGCAGGUUUUUUUUUUCCUCCUACUUACGUCUUGGCGACAGCCGGAGGCUCCCGUUUGGGAAACAACUGCAGAAAAAGUCCACGUUAUCCAAUAUAACCCCGUGCUCCCUUUCUUCCAUGAGGUCUCCGCUUCCCAAACCAGGAAAACAUGAAGAAAUGCGGCCCUGAGGUUUAAUGAUGUGAAAAUCCCCCCCACACCCCGUUGUAUCCCUGCCAAACUGCGCUCGGCUCCCCAAAUUCUGGUUUGAGCUGCCGUGACACCUACGCUCCCCGGUAUUACGCAGCCUUGAAGAAAAUCUAGCAUGUAGCAACAGCCAAAACUAUUUUCGUCCCC